Molecule: ribosomal RNA, 467 nt
Filed under: uncultured bacterium
Lineage: Bacteria
Description: partial 16S ribosomal RNA
Rfam family: Bacterial small subunit ribosomal RNA
Source: RNAcentral
GAUGAACGCUGACAGAAUGCUUAACACAUGCAAGUCCACUUGAAUUUGGGUUUUUACCUUAGGUUUGGGUGGCGGACGGGUGAGUAACGCGUAAAGAACUUGCCUCACAGCUAGGGACAACAUUUGGAAACGAAUGCUAAUACCUAAUAUUAUGAUAAUAGGGCAUCCUAUAAUUAUGAAAGCUAUAAGCGCUGUGAGAGAGCUUCGCGUCCCAUUAGCUAGUUGGAGAGGUAACGGCUCACCAAGGCGAUGAUGGGUAGCCGGCCUGAGAGGGUGAUCGGCCAAAAGGGGACUGAGACACGGCCCUUACUCCUACGGGAGGCAGCAGUGGGGAAUAUUGGACAAUGGACCGAGAGUCUGAUCCAGCAAUUCUGUGUGCACGAUGAAGUUUUUCGGAAUGUAAAGUGCUUUCAGUUGGGAAGAAACAAAUGACGGUACCAACAGAAGAAGUGACGGCUAAAUACGUG